RNAcentral lists this ribosomal RNA (464 nucleotides) under uncultured Klebsiella sp. RNAcentral's name for it is "bacterial SSU rRNA". It matches the Rfam family "Bacterial small subunit ribosomal RNA", at positions 338 to 795 of the family's 1533-position model. Lineage: Bacteria; Pseudomonadati; Pseudomonadota; Gammaproteobacteria; Enterobacterales; Enterobacteriaceae. The record is from RNAcentral.
CCUACGGGAGGCUGCAGUGGGGAAUAUUGCACAAUGGGCGCAAGCCUGAUGCAGCCAUGCCGCGUGUGUGAAGAAGGCCUUCGGGUUGUAAAGCACUUUCAGCGGGGAGGAAGGCGGUGAGGUUAAUAACCUCAUCGAUUGACGUUACCCGCAGAAGAAGCACCGGCUAACUCCGUGCCAGCAGCCGCGGUAAUACGGAGGGUGCAAGCGUUAAUCGGAAUUACUGGGCGUAAAGCGCACGCAGGCGGUCUGUCAAGUCGGAUGUGAAAUCCCCGGGCUCAACCUGGGAACUGCAUUCGAAACUGGCAGGCUAGAGUCGUGUAGAGGGGGGUAGAAUUCCAGGUGUAGCGGUGAAAUGCGUAGAGAUCUGGAGGAAUACCGGUGGCGAAGGCGGCCCCCUGGACAAAGACUGACGCUCAGGUGCGAAAGCGUGGGGAGCAAACAGGAUUAAUACCCGGGUAGUC